AUGCACGCUGGCGGCGUGCCUAAUACAUGCAAGUCGAGCGAACAGACGAGGAGCUUGCUCCUCUGACGUUAGCGGCGGACGGGUGAGUAACACGUAGAUAACCUACCUAUAAGACUGGGAUAACUUCGGGAAACCGGAGCUAAUACCGGAUAAUAUAUUGAACCGCAUGGUUCAAUAGUGAAAGACGGUUUUGCUGUCACUUAUAGAUGGAUCCGCGCCGCAUUAGCUAGUUGGUAAGGUAACGGCUUACCAAGGCGACGAUGCGUAGCCGACCUGAGAGGGUGAUCGGCCACACUGGAACUGAGACACGGUCCAGACUCCUACGGGAGGCAGCAGUAGGGAAUCUUCCGCAAUGGGCGAAAGCCUGACGGAGCAACGCCGCGUGAGUGAUGAAGGUCUUCGGAUCGUAAAACUCUGUUAUUAGGGAAGAACAAAUGUGUAAGUAACUAUGCACGUCUUGACGGUACCUAAUCAGAAAGCCACGGCUAACUACGUG
RNAcentral lists this ribosomal RNA (496 nucleotides) under uncultured bacterium. RNAcentral's name for it is "partial 16S ribosomal RNA". It matches the Rfam family "Bacterial small subunit ribosomal RNA", at positions 29 to 507 of the family's 1533-position model. The record is from RNAcentral.